AAUCCAUAGGUUAAUGAGGCGAACCGGGGGAACUGAAACAUCUAAGUACCCCGAGGAAAAGAAAUCAACCGAGAUUCCCCCAGUAGCGGCGAGCGAACGGGGAGGAGCCCAGAGCCUGAAUCAGCAUGUGUGUUAGUGGAAGCGUCUGGAAAGGCGCGCGAUACAGGGUGACAGCCCCGUACACAAAAGCGCAUGUGCUGUGAGCUCGAUGAGUAGGGCGGGACACGUGGUAUCCUGUCUGAAUAUGGGGGGACCAUCCUCCAAGGCUAAAUACUCCUGACUGACCGAUAGUGAACCAGUACCGUGAGGGAAAGGCGAAAAGAACCCCGGCGAGGGGAGUGAAAAAGAACCUGAAACCGUGUACGUACAAGCAGUGGGAGCACCCUUUGGGUGUGACUGCGUACCUUUUGUAUAAUGGGUCAGCGACUUAUAUUCUGUAGCAAGGUUAACCGAAUAGGGGAGCCGGAGGGAAACCGAGUCUUAACCGGGCGUUAAGUUGCAGGGUAUAGACCCGAAACCCGGUGAUCUAGCCAUGGGCAGGUUGAAGGUUGGGUAACACUAACUGGAGGACCGAACCGACUAAUGUUGAAAAAUUAGCGGAUGACCUGUGGCUGGGGGUGAAAGGCCAAUCAAACCGGGAGAUAGCUGGUUCUCCCCGAAAGCUAUUUAGGUAGCGCCUCGUGAAUUCAUCUCCGGGGGUAGAGCACUGUUUCGGCUAGGGGGCCAUCCCGGCUUACCAACCCGAUGCAAACUGCGAAUACCGGAGAAUGUUAUCACGGGAGACACACGGCGGGUGCUAACGUCCGUCGUGAAGAGGGAAACAACCCAGACCGCCAGCUAAGGUCCCAAAGUCAUGGUUAAGUGGGAAACGAUGUGGGAAGGCCCAGACAGCCAGGAUGUUGGCUUAGAAGCAGCCAUCAUUUAAAGAAAGCGUAAUAGCUCACUGGUCGAGUCGGCCUGCGCGGAAGAUGUAACGGGGCUAAACCAUGCACCGAAGCUGCGGCAGCGACACUGUGUGUUGUUGGGUAGGGGAGCGUUCUGUAAGCCUGUGAAGGUGUGUCGUGAGGCAUGCUGGAGGUAUCAGAAGUGCGAAUGCUGACAUAAGUAACGAUAAAGCGGGUGAAAAGCCCGCUCGCCGGAAGACCAAGGGUUCCUGUCCAACGUUAAUCGGGGCAGGGUGAGUCGACCCCUAAGGCGAGGCCGAAAGGCGUAGUCGAUGGGAAACGGGUUAAUAUUCCCGUACUUGGUGUUACUGCGAAGGGGGGACGGAGAAGGCUAUGUUGGCCGGGCGACGGUUGUCCCGGUUUAAGCGUGUAGGUGUGUGUUCCAGGUAAAUCCGGUUCACUUUAACACUGAGGCGUGACGACGAGGCACUACGGUGCUGAAGCAACAAAUGCCCUGCUUCCAGGAAAAGCCUCUAAGCAUCAGGUAACAUCAAAUCGUACCCCAAACCGACACAGGUGGUCAGGUAGAGAAUACCAAGGCGCUUGAGAGAACUCGGGUGAAGGAACUAGGCAAAAUGGUGCCGUAACUUCGGGAGAAGGCACGCUGACACGUAGGUGAAGUGAUUUACUCAUGGAGCUGAAGUCAGUCGAAGAUACCAGCUGGCUGCAACUGUUUAUUAAAAACACAGCACUGUGCAAACACGAAAGUGGACGUAUACGGUGUGACGCCUGCCCGGUGCCGGAAGGUUAAUUGAUGGGGUCAGCGCAAGCGAAGCUCCUGAUCGAAGCCCCGGUAAACGGCGGCCGUAACUAUAACGGUCCUAAGGUAGCGAAAUUCCUUGUCGGGUAAGUUCCGACCUGCACGAAUGGCGUAAUGAUGGCCAGGCUGUCUCCACCCGAGACUCAGUGAAAUUGAACUCGCUGUGAAGAUGCAGUGUACCCGCGGCAAGACGGAAAGACCCCGUGAACCUUUACUAUAGCUUGACACUGAACAUUGAGCCUUGAUGUGUAGGAUAGGUGGGAGGCUUUGAAGUGUGGACGCCAGUCUGCAUGGAGCCGACCUUGAAAUACCACCCUUUAAUGUUUGAUGUUCUAACGUGGACCCGUUACCCGGGUUGCGGACAGUGUCUGGUGGGUAGUUUGACUGGGGCGGUCUCCUCCUAAAGAGUAACGGAGGAGCACGAAGGUUGGCUAAUCCUGGUCGGACAUCAGGAGGUUAGUGCAAUGGCAUAAGCCAGCUUGACUGCGAGCGUGACGGCGCGAGCAGGUGCGAAAGCAGGUCAUAGUGAUCCGGUGGUUCUGAAUGGAAGGGCCAUCGCUCAACGGAUAAAAGGUACUCCGGGGAUAACAGGCUGAUACCGCCCAAGAGUUCAUAUCGACGGCGGUGUUUGGCACCUCGAUGUCGGCUCAUCACAUCCUGGGGCUGAAGUAGGUCCCAAGGGUAUGGCUGUUCGCCAUUUAAAGUGGUACGCGAGCUGGGUUUAGAACGUCGUGAGACAGUUCGGUCCCUAUCUGCCGUGGGCGCUGGAGAACUGAGGGGGGCUGCUCCUAGUACGAGAGGACCGGAGUGGACGCAUCACUGGUGUUCGGGUUGUCAUGCCAAUGGCACUGCCCGGUAGCUAAAUGCGGAAGAGAUAAGUGCUGAAAGCAUCUAAGCACGAAACUUGCCCCGAGAUGAGUUCUCCCUGAGACUUAAAGUCUCC
RNAcentral lists this ribosomal RNA (2647 nucleotides) under Salmonella enterica subsp. enterica serovar Enteritidis. RNAcentral's name for it is "partial 23S ribosomal RNA". It matches the Rfam family "Bacterial large subunit ribosomal RNA". The record is from RNAcentral. Lineage: Bacteria; Pseudomonadati; Pseudomonadota; Gammaproteobacteria; Enterobacterales; Enterobacteriaceae.